UUCCGGUUGAUCCUGCCGGACCUGACUGCUAUCGGAUUGAUACUAAGCCAUGCGAGUCAUUGUAGCAAUACAAGGCAGACGGCUCAGUAACGCGUAGUCAACCUAACCUAUGGACGAGAAUAACCUCGGGAAACUGAGAAUAAUGCUCGAUAGAACACUAUACCUGGAAUGGUUUGUGUUCCAGAUGAUUUAUCGCCGUAGGAUGGGACUGCGGCCUAUCAGUUUGUUGGUGAGGUAAUGGCCCACCAAGACUAUUACAGGUACGGGCUCUGAGAGGAGUAGCCCGGAGAUGGGUACUGAGACACGGACCCAGGCCCUAUGGGGCGCAGCAGGCGAGAAAACUUUGCAAUGUGCGAAAGCACGACAAGGUUAAUCCGAGUGAUUUGUGCUAAACGAAUCUUUUGUUAGUCCUAGAAACACUAACGAAUAAGGGGUGGGCAAGUUCUGGUGUCAGCCGCCGCGGUAAGACCAGCACCUCAAGUGGUCAGGAUGAUUAUUGGGCCUAAAGCAUCCGUAGCCGGCUCUGUAAGUUUUCGGUUAAAUCUGUACGCUUAACGUACAGGCUGCCGGGAAUACUGCAGAGCUAGGGAGUGGGAGAGGUAGACGGUACUCGGUAGGAAGGGGUAAAAUCCUUUGAUCUAUUGAUGACCACCUGUGGCGAAGGCGGUCUACCAGAACACGUCCGACGGUGAGGGAUGAAAGCUGGGGGAGCAAACCGGAUUAGAUACCCGGGUAGUCCCAGCUGUAAACUAUGCAAACUCAGUGAUGCAUUGACUUGUGGUCAAUGCAGUGCUGCAGGGAAGCCGUUAAGUUUGCCGCCUGGGAAGUACGUACGCAAGUAUGAAACUUAAAGGAAUUGGCGGGGGAGCACCACAAGGGUGAAGCCUGCGGUUCAAUUGGAUUCAACGCCGGGAAUCACUAG
This 922-nucleotide ribosomal RNA is filed under the name uncultured archaeon. RNAcentral describes it as "bacterial SSU rRNA". It matches the Rfam family "Archaeal small subunit ribosomal RNA", at positions 1 to 933 of the family's 1478-position model. The record is from RNAcentral.